CCUACGGGCGGCAGCAGUGGGGAAUAUUGCACAAUGGGCGCAAGCCUGAUGCAGCCAUGCCGCGUGUGUGAAGAAGGCCUUCGGGUUGUAAAGCACUUUCAGCGGGGAGGAAGGCGGUGAGGUUAAUAACCUCAUCGAUUGACGUUACCCGCAGAAGAAGCACCGGCUAACUCCGUGCCAGCAGCCGCGGUAAUACGGAGGGUGCAAGCGUUAAUCGGAAUUACUGGGCGUAAAGCGCACGCAGGCGGUCUGUCAAGUCGGAUGUGAAAUCCCCGGGCCCAACCUGGGAACUGCAUUCGAAACUGGCAGGCUAGAGUCUUGUAGAGGGGGGUAGAAUUCCAGGUGUAGCGGUGAAAUGCGUAGAGAUCUGGAGGAAUACCGGUGGCGAAGGCGGCCCCCUGGACAAAGACUGACGCUCAGGUGCGAAAGCGUGGGGAGCAAACAGGAUUAGAUACCCGAGUAGUC
This 465-nucleotide ribosomal RNA is filed under the name uncultured Klebsiella sp. RNAcentral's name for it is "bacterial SSU rRNA". It matches the Rfam family "Bacterial small subunit ribosomal RNA", at positions 338 to 795 of the family's 1533-position model. The record is from RNAcentral. Lineage: Bacteria; Pseudomonadati; Pseudomonadota; Gammaproteobacteria; Enterobacterales; Enterobacteriaceae.